Molecule: ribosomal RNA, 490 nt
Filed under: uncultured bacterium
Lineage: Bacteria
Description: partial 16S ribosomal RNA
Rfam family: Bacterial small subunit ribosomal RNA
Source: RNAcentral
AUUGAACGCUGGCGGCAGGCCUAACACAUGCAAGUCGAACGGUAACAGGAAACAGCUUGCUGUCUCGCUGACGAGUGGCGGACGGGUGAGUAAUGUCUGGGAAACUGCCUGAUGGAGGGGGAUAACUACUGGAAACGGUAGCUAAUACCGCAUAACGUCGCAAGACCAAAGAGGGGGACCUUCGGGCCUCUUGCCAUCGGAUGUGCCCAGAUGGGAUUAGUUAGUAGGUGGGGUAACGGCUCACCUAGGCGACGAUCCCUAGCUGGUCUGAGAGGAUGACCAGCCACACUGGAACUGAGACACGGUCCAGACUCCUACGGGAGGCAGCAGUGGGGAAUAUUGCACAAUGGGCGCAAGCCUGAUGCAGCCAUGCCGCGUGUAUGAAGAAGGCCUUCGGGUUGUAAAGUACUUUCAGCGGGGAGGAAGGGAGUAAAGUUAAUACCUUUACUCAUUGACGUUACCCGCAGAAGAAGCACCGGCUAACUCCGUG